Molecule: ribosomal RNA, 538 nt
Filed under: uncultured bacterium
Lineage: Bacteria
Description: bacterial SSU rRNA
Rfam family: Bacterial small subunit ribosomal RNA
Source: RNAcentral
CCUUACCAGGUCUUGACAUACUCGUGCUAUUCCUAGAGAUAGGAAGUUCCUUCGGGACACGGGAUACAGGUGGUGCAUGGUUGUCGUCAGCUCGUGUCGUGAGAUGUUGGGUUAAGUCCGCAACGAGCGCAACCCCUAUUGUUAGUUGCCAUCAUUAAGUUGGGCACUCUAACGAGACUGCCGGUGAUAAACCGGAGGAAGGUGGGGAUGACGUCAAAUCAUCAUGCCCCUUAUGACCUGGGCUACACACGUGCUACAAUGGAUGGUACAACGAGUCGCGAGACAGUGAUGUUUAGCUAAUCUCUUAAAACCAUUCUCAGUUCGGAUUGUAGGCUGCAACUCGCCUACAUGAAGUCGGAAUCGCUAGUAAUCGCGGAUCAGCACGCCGCGGUGAAUACGUUCCCGGGCCUUGUACACACCGCCCGUCACACCACGGGAGUUGGGAGUACCCGAAGUAGGUUGCCUAACCGCAAGGAGGGCGCUUCCUAAGGUAAGACCGAUGACUGGGGUGAAGUCGUAACAAGGUAAGCGUAGCGAG